GCGGCCGUGGCGUAGCGGUAGCGUAGGGGACUGUGGCUCCCCUGGGCCGGGUUCAAUUCCCGGCGGUCGCC
This 71-nucleotide transfer RNA is filed under the name Candidatus Woesearchaeota archaeon. RNAcentral's name for it is "tRNA-His". It matches the Rfam family "tRNA". Rfam says of the family: Transfer RNA (tRNA) molecules are approximately 80 nucleotides in length. Their secondary structure includes four short double-helical elements and three loops (D, anti-codon, and T loops). Lineage: Archaea; Nanobdellati; Candidatus Woesearchaeota. The record is from RNAcentral.